RNAcentral lists this ribosomal RNA (497 nucleotides) under uncultured bacterium. RNAcentral describes it as "partial 16S ribosomal RNA". It matches the Rfam family "Bacterial small subunit ribosomal RNA", at positions 28 to 507 of the family's 1533-position model. The record is from RNAcentral.
GAUGAACGCUGGCGGCGUGCCUAAUACAUGCAAGUCGAGCGAACAGACGAGGAGCUUGCUCCUCUGACGUUAGCGGCGGACGGGUGAGUAACACGUGGAUAACCUACCUAUAAGACUGGGAUAACUUCGGGAAACCGGAGCUAAUACCGGAUAAUAUAUUGAACCGCAUGGUUCAAUAGUGAAAUACGGUUUUGCUGUCACUUAUAGAUGGAUCCGCGCCGCAUUAGCUAGUUGGUAAGGUAACGGCUUACCAAGGCAACGAUGCGUAGCCGACCUGAGAGGGUGAUCGCCCACCCUGGAACUGAGCCACGGUCCAGACUCCUACGGGAGGCAGCAGUAGGGAAUCUUACGCAAUGGGCGAGAGCCUGACAGAGCAACGCCGCGUGAGUGAUGAAGGUCUUCGGAUCGUAAAACUCUGUUAUUAGGGAAGAACAAAUGUGUAAGUAACUGUGCACGUCUUGACGGUACCUGAUCAGAAGGCCACGGCUAACUACGUG